Molecule: ribosomal RNA, 253 nt
Filed under: uncultured bacterium
Lineage: Bacteria
Description: partial 16S ribosomal RNA
Rfam family: Bacterial small subunit ribosomal RNA
Source: RNAcentral
UACGUAGGUGGCAAGCGUUGUCCGGAAUUAUUGGGCGUAAAGGGCUCGCAGGCGGUCUUCUAAGUCUGAUGUGAAAUCUUGCGACUUAACCGUAAGCGGUCAUUGGAAACUGGAGGACUUGAGUACAGAAGAGGAGAGUGGAAUUCCACGUGUAGCGGUGAAAUGCGUAGAGAUGUGGAGGAACACCAGUGGCGAAGGCGACUCUCUGGUCUGUAACUGACGCUGAGGAGCGAAAGCGUGGGGAGCAAACAGG